This 460-nucleotide ribosomal RNA is filed under the name uncultured bacterium. Its description in RNAcentral is "partial 16S ribosomal RNA". It matches the Rfam family "Bacterial small subunit ribosomal RNA", at positions 338 to 795 of the family's 1533-position model. The record is from RNAcentral.
CCUACGGGUGGCAGCAGUGAGGAAUAUUGGUCAAUGGACGGAAGUCUGAACCAGCCAUGCCGCGUGCAGGAAGACUGCUCUAUGAGUUGUAAACUGCUUUUGUAUAAGGGUAAACCUGAAUACGUGUAUUCAGUUGAAUGUACUGUAUGAAUAAGGAUCGGCUAACUCCGUGCCAGCAGCCGCGGUAAUACGGAGGAUCCAAGCGUUAUCCGGAUUUAUUGGGUUUAAAGGGUGCGUAGGCGGAUGGUUAAGUUAGAGGUGAAAUGUCGGGGCUCAACUGGGAAAUUGCAUUUAAUACUGUUGGUCUUGAGAGUAGCUGCGGUAGGCGGAAUGUGUGGUGUAGCGGUGAAAUGCUUAGAGAUCAUACAGAACUCCGAUUGCGAAGGCAGCUUACCAAUCUGUAUCUGACGUUGAGGCACGAAAGCGUGGGGAGCAAACAGGAUUAGAUACCCGGGUAGUC